GAGACGCUGGCGGCGCGCUUAACACAUGCAAGUCGUGCGGUGUCGAAGGCAAGUCUUACGACAAGCCUUCGACACAGCGGCGAACGGGUGAGUAACACGUGAGUAGCUGUCCUAAGGAGGGGGAUAACGCCUGGAAACGGGUGCUAAUACCCCAUAUGCCUCGCAAGAGGUGAAAGUGUACUUGCUACAGCCUUAGGGUGUGCUCGCGGCCUAUCAGCUAGUUGGUGAGGUAACGGCUCACCAAGGCUAAGACGGGUAGCCGGCCUGAGAGGGUGUACGGCCACACUGGAAUUGAGAUACGGUCCAGACUCCUACGGGAGGCAGCAGUGGGGAAUCUUGGGCAAUGGGCGAAAGCCUGACCCAGCGACGCCGCGUUGGGGAUGAAGCCCUUCGGGGCGUAAACCCAUGUUGUAGGGGACGAAGAAAGUGACGGUACUACCCGAGGAAGCCCCGGCUAACUACGUG
RNAcentral lists this ribosomal RNA (465 nucleotides) under uncultured bacterium. RNAcentral's name for it is "bacterial SSU rRNA". It matches the Rfam family "Bacterial small subunit ribosomal RNA", at positions 33 to 507 of the family's 1533-position model. The record is from RNAcentral.